Dreissena polymorpha is the source of this 3081-nucleotide long non-coding RNA. RefSeq lists it as uncharacterized. Lineage: Eukaryota; Metazoa; Mollusca; Bivalvia; Myida; Dreissenidae. The record is from RefSeq and is a predicted model, not a curated record. The transcript is spliced from 2 exons.
AAAAGUGUACAAAAAGUUGAUCAAAUAUUGCCUUAUUUUGAUAAGAUUCUUAAGUUUUAGUUAGGUACAACUGUGCUAUGAAGGCUAGCUUGACAACGACAGGCGACAUGCUGGAUUGCUUAAUCAACAUUUAAAUCGGGGUUUUACCGAUGCCAGAAACUCUGAAUGUUUUAAAAGGCCAAUCUCAAUGGGAUGAGAUAGUUGGAGUUGGCUAUUGUGUUUUGUUAAGCGUAAAGUGACACAGAUAAGAGUAUUUUGCGGAAGUUUUAAAACUGUUUCAUAUCUUCGGCUUUUUAUUUACAAACCCAGUUUAAACGAAACGAUAACGACAGGUACAUCGGAUCGCUAUAGUGUACAUGAUGUCUUGGAUUCGAAUUCCUCACGUAACAGUCGCUUUACUACUGGCAACAGUGUACCAAAAAGGCGAGUGCACCUCAGAUGGCAUAAUAGUCAGCGAUGCAGAAGAGGUCGAGAAUGGUGAUAACACGUCCGCGCCGCUUUGCAAGUUCAGUGCAUGGGACAGAAGCAAGAGUUAUUUCGACGUGCAAUUUCACGAAUCAGAUCCAGUAUUCGUGAAAUUCAAGCUUAAGAUAAAUGAGACAUCAAUCAACGAAUCGCGUCACACCGACGUGAUAUUGCCUCAUCACUGAGUCUGGACAUACUCAACCGAGAAUUCGAAUUACAUGUAUGCCCUCCUUCGUGGGCUUGACAGUCAAAAUGUGUGCACAAGUGCCUUGAAUUGAUGAUCACCAGUGAUUAUAUAUACACAAUUUUAGAUACGGAUAUCAUAUUGCAGUCAUUAAAACUAAUGUAAGGCCCCCAUUGAGUUGACAGGUAUGAAAGCAAUUGAAUCAAUUUUAGAUCUCUUUUCAAAUGGCAUGACACUACACUCACACAAACAGAUUUGCAUAACAUAUUACAAUGUACAUGUUUUCGCUGGGUAGUGUAAUCUGUAGGAGCUAUUGAAGCAUGGGUGCUGAAUAAUUUUCGAAAGUCAUUAUUGGACCAGAGAACCUAUUAAGGUAUAAUAUUUUGAUUAUAAUUAUUCAAGUGCGUUAUCAAUUCAAAAGAUCAAAUAAGACAUGCCAAUCGUCUUUCCAUUAGUAUAGUCUGGAUAAAUAUGUUAAUAGAUAUGUUAUUCAGCUUUUAAAAAUUGCUUUCACGUUCCAACAGACCUAAAUUUAUUAAUAUACUCUAUAGAUAUUUCUAUUUUGCAAAAUUCUUAUAAAGCUAUUGAGUUGGGCGUAAUUGAAACAUUAUCUUAUGAAAGGAAAUUUCUUAAUUUUAUAAUCAUACUUCAAUAUUUAUAUAUAAACCAAUGACGUCUACUGACAUUUAACGAUUGCGUUAACAAUUAUUUAUCCGUGUAAAUUUGUUUAUGUUCUGAAAUUUAUAAUUCAAUCUUGUGCGCCCUCUUAACAAUGUACACCAAUCAAGUACAUACCCGGUACAUAACAAGAACAUUUGUUAAAUUGAUAUCCCCGCCAAAUAAAGUUUGUUUAUGAAUUGUUGCAAAUCUCUUGAUAUACAGUAUUACCCUUAACAAAAUAGUGAAGUGUAGGGUAAUCCAAUAAGCUAAAGACUGUCAAAUUACACAUACUAAGUAUUGAAAGCCAUACCUGGAGCUUUCGUCCGUGCACUACGGACUUCAUCAGCAGAAUUAAUUAUACUGUUGGGAAACGUUUACACCGCUAAAUGUCGGGGUGAGCGAUGUUAACGUAUGGUCCCAGGUGUGCGAGAGUUGGAAGCGUUGGUAAUUUGACAGUCUAAAACUUAUAGGAUUAUCAUGGAAACCAGUCAAACUUUCAUCGAAGAAGUGUAUGAUAAUUGUUUUUAUGCAUUGCAAUCGUCCUCACUGAUAAACCCAUGUAGUUUCAUGUUGAAAUCUUGUAGUGUUUCUGAGAUAAUGCCCUGAAAAUUUACAUCAUACAAAAACAACAAAGGGCAUUAACUCUUAUUUGAGAAAGUGUAAGGUUAAUAUGGUUCUUGUGCAAGGCAAUUCUCUUUAUUGAUUUCAACACAUCAUUGAAGUUUCACGUUGAAAUAUUGUAUCAUAUCUGAAAUAUAGCCCUGACAAGUUACAUGAUACCAAAACAGCAAAGGUCAAUUAAUCUUAUUAAAGAAAGUGUAGGGCUAUGGUUCUUGAGCAUUUCACGUUGACCAUUCCACAUCAGCUUUCAGUGGAGUGCCUUUAAAGGGCCAGUUUCUGAAAAUCUCCAUAAGUUCAGCAAAUCUGUUAAUACCAGAUUUCUUUAAACUUGUGGUUGUUUAUAUUUAACUUUUAUUGAAUGCGUGAAACAUGUUUGUUCUGUUGUUGAACAGCUGAACAUAGCUUGAUGUUUGUAAAUUGUGUAACAUGUUUCAAACAUAUCAAAUUGAUACAUACAAAAUAAACAUUUUGCAUUUAUGUACAUGCAUGUUAAGCCAAACAACAAAUGUUACCAAACACAAAUAUUAAUAUUUGGUAUCAAUAUUAGUAUUGGGCUAUUUUCGUAAUAGCCUAUUUAAUACAGUUUUUAAAACUAUGUUUUUAUAUGUUCGUCUACUCCAAAUAAACAUUUAUAUACGUAAAUAUAGGGUUAUAAUCCCUAUGGAAAGUGCCAGUAGCCCUUUUCAAUCUCUUGUGUACGUCAUAUUGAUCAGUGACUGUCUAAAUUAUUUAAUGAUUGUUCAUGCCUGUGUCUGAACUGUGUAAAUAUCUUCAAAGUCGUGAGACAAAUGCAAAGAUGAUUUUAAUAUUCAAACUUAAAAUAUAAUCUUAACCGUAACCUGGCAUCUGUUGCGUUUAUGUUAACAUGUUCAUAUUUUCUGGCUUACUGAAUUUAGAAUUUUCUAUAAUCGUGCGCACUUUUAUUGUGGUUGUUUUGUGAAGACGAAGCGCAUUACACUGUUCAUGUUGUUAUUGUCCACGUUUUUUAUAACAAAAAUGUUUUGUAUGUGAAUAACUUAACAUGUUUAUAUUGUUGACAUGUAUUUUCCGAUCUUCUAAGUUUGAUGUUGCACUCUCGAUAAAGUACAUAGCCAUUCAUGUGGAAUUGUAUUGUUCAGUGUUGUUAUGACAAAUUAAAUCCCUAAGGAUUG